This 396-nucleotide ribosomal RNA is filed under the name uncultured bacterium. RNAcentral's name for it is "partial 16S ribosomal RNA". It matches the Rfam family "Bacterial small subunit ribosomal RNA", at positions 505 to 898 of the family's 1533-position model. The record is from RNAcentral.
GUGCCAGCAGCCGCGGUAAUACGUAGGGGGCGAGCGUUGUCCGAAGUUACUGGGCGUAAAGCGCGCGUAGGCGGGCGCUUAAGUCUGGCGUGAAAGGUUCAGGGCUCAACCCGAACAGUGCGCUGGAUACUGGGUGCCUUGAGUGCGGGAGAGGGGGGUGGAAUUCCUGGUGUAGCGGUGAAAUGCGUAGAUAUCAGGAGGAACACCGAUGGCGAAGGCAGCCCCCUGGCCCGCAACUGACGCUGAGGUGCGAAAGCGUGGGGAGCGAACGGGAUUAGAUACCCCGGUAGUCCCAGCAGUAAACGAUGGACACUAGGUGUCGGGGGUGUUGACCCCUCCGGUGCCCAAGCUAACGCAUUAAGUGUCCCGCCUGGGGAGUACGGCCGCAAGGCUAAA